Molecule: ribosomal RNA, 441 nt
Filed under: uncultured bacterium
Lineage: Bacteria
Description: bacterial SSU rRNA
Rfam family: Bacterial small subunit ribosomal RNA
Source: RNAcentral
AUUAAACGCUGGCGGCAUGCCUUACACAUGCAAGUCGAACGGCAGCACGGGGGCAACCCUGGUGGCGAGUGGCGAACGGGUGAGUAAAGCAUCGGAACGUGCCCUGGAGUGGGGGAUAACGUAGCGAAAGUUACGCUAAUACCGCAUAUUCUGUGAGCAGGAAAGCAGGGGAUCGCAAGACCUUGCGCUCUGGGAGCGGCCGAUGUCGGAUUAGCUAGUUGGUGGGGUAAAGGCCUACCAAGGCGACGAUCCGUAGCGGGUCUGAGAGGAUGAUCCGCCACACUGGGACUGAGACACGGCCCAGACUCCUACGGGAGGCAGCAGUGGGGAAUAUUGCGCAAUGGGCGAAAGCCUGACGCAGCCACGCCGCGUGAGCGAUGAAGGCCUUGGUCGUAAGACUCUGUGGGGAGGAGAAGAAUAAAGACCUGUGAAGAGCAGGCC